UUUGAGGGCAUCUUAUUUCUGCUUGCUUUGAAGUUCCCUUCUGCAGUUCCACUUAUGCAGUGGAGGGACUAGGGUGAUAGUUUCUAUUGGCAAGAUAAAGUAGUUUGAUGCUUCUAUGAAUCUAUGUAAUAGAAGGUUAUAAUAGGAAAGCUUUAAGUCUAAGAUUGAAAAAUCAAACUUUAUCUUUUUCUGCAGGAAGUUGAACUUGAAGCACAUGCUGUUAAAGGGAUUGGUAAGACUCAUGCAAAGUGGUCCCCAGUUUCCACAGCUUUGUAUAGGAUGCUUCCUGAGGUUAUGUUAUUGCAAGAAGUGGAAGGUGAAAAAGCUGAAGAGCUUGUAAAUAAAUGCCCAGUUAAUGUAUUUGACAUUGAAGAUGUUGCUAAGGGUAAGAAGAGGGCAACUGUAGCCCGACCAUGAGCUUGCACGCUAUGUAAGGAAUACAUUAGAUGGGAAGACUGGGAGAAGCGUGUGGCAAUAAGGCGUGUUAAAGACCAUUUCAUCUGUAAGUAGUGAUGUGUAUACAUCAAUAAUUAACUAGGAAGAUCAUCUUUCCAUGUUUCAGUGGUAACUGAUUUUCUUGUUUAUAAGCAUCUGGUUAUGCUUGCCUGCAGAACAACAUAGAUUCUACUAGUGCCUUUAUCUGAUACUUCGUAUGUGGCCUGCAUAUGCAUGUCUAAACUAUU
Long non-coding RNA from Telopea speciosissima, 683 nucleotides. RefSeq lists it as uncharacterized. The transcript is spliced from 3 exons. The record is from RefSeq and is a predicted model, not a curated record. Lineage: Eukaryota; Viridiplantae; Streptophyta; Magnoliopsida; Proteales; Proteaceae.